GCAAGUUCCAGGCUCGCGGAGAGGCUAUCUGGCCGGAAACGCGGCCUGAGCCCAAAUUUAACGGGAUGCGGCACUGUUGUCCCUGGGGGUUGAGCUGUCCUGUCAGGGAUUGUCCCCGCACCCUUCUCUCGGCCACAGCUGCUCACUCCUGGGGUGCAUCCCUCCUGUUAGGAGGCGCGGUCUUCGGAUUUGAGACAAAUCUAACUAUAAAAUUUGCGCGGCCGUUAUUGUUUAAGCAAAAAUGAGAGCUCUUUUGGCCCAAACUUGGUAGUCAAGAUUCUGUAGCAGGAAACUGAACAUCAAGACCGAGCAAGAGUGUGACAGGUGGAAAAAGUUUUCAGGAAAUAACUGCGGUGCGCAGUGAAGGAGCCGUGAUCCCGGAGAAGAAUGCGGGAAGACAGGAAUGGACUGGGAAUUACGCGCAGAUAACCGAGCGCGGUAGUCAACAGGAGAAGGUUAUCUUCCUUCGCAGGAGAGAGGGGAGGAGUAAGGAACUGCUGGGGAGGAGCUUCUAGCAGUUACAAGUACGAACUGCUCAGUUUAACUCUUAUUAAAGUAGAUUAAUUACAGUAAUGAUUAGAAAUGCUAAAGGAUCCAAAUUUGCAAGGUAACAUGCUCUACUGCAUAGAGCACAAAACCACAUGUUAAUGUAACAAAA
Molecule: non-coding RNA, 658 nt
Organism: Sus scrofa (pig)
Lineage: Eukaryota; Metazoa; Chordata; Mammalia; Artiodactyla; Suidae
Source: RefSeq, a predicted model, not a curated record